This is a non-coding RNA of Heterocephalus glaber (naked mole-rat), 977 nucleotides long. Lineage: Eukaryota; Metazoa; Chordata; Mammalia; Rodentia; Bathyergidae. The record is from RefSeq and is a predicted model, not a curated record.
AUUCAGGCAUCUUGCCCGGGUCAGUGCCAGGAACGACCAGCUCUAUGGAGCGGGCAGGAGGCUCCAGUGAAGGCAUGGGGAGUACCCAUGCCCACCCCAGAACCACGCCCAACCCAGAACUAACUCCAGGGCUUCCUGCUGCCUCCAGGGACAGUGAAACAUCAGGGAGGUGGGGCACCGAACCCACAGCCUUAUGUGUGGGAGACAACUGUUCUACUACCCAGCUGCACUCCCAAGGCCAAGUCAGCAUUUUAAAUAAAGUUACUACUCAUUCCAUCCUCCCUAGCAUGUCACCUGGGGUUUCAGGACUAAGCACACAGCACACUUGGCAGGAUGAUACCCCCAAAUCAGACAGGAAAGGCUCAUCCAGGCAGCGGUGUGCUGGAGAGAGCAAGACUGGAAUCAGAUCAGUGUGCCCCUUGGAGAUCAGUGACCUGAGUCUCCUGAAAGUGUUGGCAACUACAGGUCAAUGAAUUGUUUUUCUUGGGCACAGUGAGGACAGGCUAAAGAGAACUACGACAUGAGGACUGAGACCGACCUCUAUGUACAGCCUACAUCACCCAGGCCCCUCCACUUGCAUCUUGUGCAUUUGGGCACCAGGGCUGUCUUCUGUGGCAACGGCUCCUCUGUGCCUGUUUCCUACUGGGCUCAGCACCCUGCCUCCAGAGCCAAGUCCGACCAAGCACGAUGGCCAGGGCUGCUGCCUGCAGCCUCUGUUGCACAGAAAGCCACCAGCUGUCAUGGAGGAGUGGGCAGGACACACCCAUUGCUGUGGAGGAGCAUGGUUUGGUCUGGACAGGCUGCCUGAUGGUUCCUGGCUUUAAAUCCUCAGCAUUAACUCUAAUUUGCCUUAUUUUUCACGAUUGUACUACAAACCUCUUAUUGGUUCUAUCUGCAAACUCAGAGUUAGUGUGUAGUGCAAGAUCAUGCUAAUGAAGUGUUAAGGCCAGGACUUGAACCAAGAUUCUGACUUCAAA